CCUACGGGAGGCUGCAGUAGGGAAUAUUGCGCAAUGGGGGAAACCCUGAAGCAGCAACGCCGCGUGGGGGAUGAAGGUUUUCGGAUUGUAAACCCCUUUUGUUAGAGAAGAUAAUGACGGUAUCUAACGAAUAAACACCGGCUAACUCCGUGUCAGCAGCCGCGGUAAUACGGAGGGGGCAAGCGUUACUCGGAAUCACUGGGCGUAAAGAGCGCGUAGGCGGGUUAGCAAGUCAGAUGUGAAAUCCUAUGGCUUAACCAUAGAGGGGCAUUUGAAACUGUUAUUCUUGAGUAUGGGAGAGGUAAGUGGAAUUCUUGGUGUAGGGGUAAAAUGCGUAGAUAUCAAGAGGAAUACUCAUUGCGAAGGCGACCUGCUAGAACAUAACUGACGCUGAUGCGCGAAAGCGUGGGGAGCAAACAGGAUUAGAUACCCCAGUAGUC
RNAcentral lists this ribosomal RNA (440 nucleotides) under uncultured bacterium. Its description in RNAcentral is "partial 16S ribosomal RNA". It matches the Rfam family "Bacterial small subunit ribosomal RNA", at positions 338 to 795 of the family's 1533-position model. The record is from RNAcentral.